AGUUUGCACAUGUGCAGUGUAGAAGUUUGAUCAUCCGCCAUUUUCAACUGAGACUUGCAUGUGCUUAGUAUCCUGGAUAGGAUCUAUUGCCAUCUGAGGAUUAUUUGCUGACAAGGAUAGUCGGCAAAUACAAGCAAGACAUUACAAAACAUUACAAGAAAUAUGUAAGAAGGCAAAACCAAACCAAGAAUAUGUGUCCCAGCUAUUAGACCUUGAGUUUGAAGCCAGAAGAUCCUUCAUUGACUCAGACACCAUGAAAGAGGAGAACAGAGCUUGCCUCAUCUUGGAUGCAUAUCCAUGCUUUAAAGAAUUGCAUCAUGCGUUGGGUGAGCUUCGCAGAAUUUUGGAUCCCCACAACAACAAGUUCAUCAGUCAAGUAAAACUGAGAUGGGAAGAAUUCUGCUCCAGGGUAGAGUUCUACGGUGUGUCAAAGAAGGCAAUGAAUCCACCAAUGACCAUGGACAAAACUGAAGCCCACCUUGCACUGAUGAAGGCUCUUCCAACCCUCUUUCCCACACCUGCCCAUCCACCAAAAAAGAUGGGGAAUGCUUCUGAAGCAUUUCUACAUGUCCUGAAGCCUACAGAAGAUCCAGAUGCUGUCCUCCAGAAACGAAGCUUGUCAUGUCCAGUAAUGAUGUUCGAUGGCUGCAAGUGUGUCAUUGCUGUUGGUAAUUUACCAGUUACAACAUUUGACAAAGAAAAAAUUGGUGAGGCUAUGAUAUAUGUGAUGGCAUACUUUUAUGCACUCCAUCUGACUUACCCCAAAUGCGUGGCAACCCUGCUGUCUGUCAUUCAGACAGAAGUUCUCCAGGAUGCCAUUCAUGAGCAUGACACUACAUCAUCUUACAGAAAAGCCCUGGCAGAAUGGCAUGCAUUUAUUGGAAAGUAGUGUGUAAAUUUCAGAUAAGAUUAGGAGAGGGCACUUCUGUUUUGUUUUUGUUUGUUUUUUCAAUCUGGGUCUUAUUUCUAAAAUGGAAAAUGUUCAUUUACUCACCCAGACAAGUUUUGUGGUAUUUGGUGUCAUUCGGAAGAAAUUUGAAUCUUUGUGGUCUUCCUAUGUCACUCGUCAAUUUUAAUGGGGCAAUGGCGAAACCUCUAAGGCUGUUGAAAUGUUGAAACCACUUAAACAAACUCAUAAUGUUGGACCUGUACUGUUCAAUUGUAUCUUUAUUAUCUGCAGGUUAUUGUUAAAGUGGACAAAUAAAGAUGGACACUUUUACUCUGUUUCAGUUUUGUUUUGUCCUUAAUCAGCAAUAUAAUCUUAAAGUAGUGUUUAGCUAAAUUUAAAAAUGAU
Long non-coding RNA from Astatotilapia calliptera (eastern happy), 1294 nucleotides. The record is from Ensembl. NCBI's taxonomy places the organism in Eukaryota, Metazoa, Chordata, Actinopteri, Cichliformes, Cichlidae.